UAUGCUACAUACGGAUAAGCCA
Molecule: non-coding RNA, 22 nt
Filed under: Arabidopsis thaliana (thale cress)
Lineage: Eukaryota; Viridiplantae; Streptophyta; Magnoliopsida; Brassicales; Brassicaceae
Source: RNAcentral